RNAcentral lists this ribosomal RNA (403 nucleotides) under uncultured Anaerofilum sp. Its description in RNAcentral is "bacterial SSU rRNA". It matches the Rfam family "Bacterial small subunit ribosomal RNA", at positions 356 to 774 of the family's 1533-position model. The record is from RNAcentral. Lineage: Bacteria; Bacillati; Bacillota; Clostridia; Eubacteriales; Oscillospiraceae.
GGGGGAUAUUGCACAAUGGAGGAAACUCUGAUGCAGCGACGCCGCGUGAGGGAAGAAGGUUUUCGGAUUGUAAACCUCUGUCUUCGGGGACGAAACAAAUGACGGUACUCGAGGAGGAAGCCACGGCUAACUACGUGCCAGCAGCCGCGGUAAUACGUAGGUGGCAAGCGUUGUCCGGAAUUACUGGGUGUAAAGGGAGCGCAGGCGGAACUGCAAGUUGGGUGUUUAAUCUACGGGCUCAACCCGUAUCAGCAUUCAAAACUGUGGUUCUUGAGUAAUGCAGAGGUAGGCGGAAUUCCCGGUGUAGCGGUGGAAUGCGUAGAUAUCGGGAGGAACACCAGUGGCGAAGGCGGCCUACUGGGCAUCAACUGACGCUGAGGCUCGAAAGCAUGGGUAGCAAACA